RNAcentral lists this small nuclear RNA (299 nucleotides) under Felis catus (domestic cat). RNAcentral's name for it is "7SK RNA". It matches the Rfam family "7SK RNA". From Rfam's summary of the family: 7SK was discovered as an abundant small nuclear RNA in the mid-70s but a possible function has only recently been suggested. Two independent studies have found that 7SK RNA binds the CDK9/cyclin T complex (known as elongation factor P-TEFb). The record is from Rfam by way of RNAcentral. Lineage: Eukaryota; Metazoa; Chordata; Mammalia; Carnivora; Felidae.
GGAUGUGAGGGCGAUCUGGUUGCGACAUCUGUCACCCCAUUGAUCGCCAGGGUUGAUUCGGCUGAUCUGGCUGGCUAGGCGGGUGUCGCCUUCCUCCCUCACCACUCCAUGUGCGUCCCUCCCGAAGCUGCACUCUCGGUCGAAGAGGACGACCUUCCCCGAUAGAGGAGGACCGUUCUUCGGUCAAGGGUAUACGAGUAGCUGUGCUCCCCUGCUAGAACCUCCAAACAAGCUCUCAAGGUCCAUUUGUAGGAGAAUGUAGGGUAGUUAAAAAAAAAAAAAAAAAAGUCCUUUUCUUU